RNAcentral lists this ribosomal RNA (196 nucleotides) under uncultured bacterium. RNAcentral describes it as "partial 16S ribosomal RNA". It matches the Rfam family "Bacterial small subunit ribosomal RNA", at positions 328 to 539 of the family's 1533-position model. The record is from RNAcentral.
ACGCUCGACACCUACGGGAGCAGCAGUGGGGAAUAUUGCACAAUGGGGGAAACCCUGAUGCAGCAACGCCGCGUGAGUGAAGAAGUAUUUCGGUAUGUAAAGCUCUAUCAGCAGGGAAGAUAAUGACGGUACCUGACUAAGAAGCUCCGGCUAAAUACGUGCAGCAGCCGCGGUAAUCUGAGCGGGCUGGCAAGGC